GCACCAGUGGUCUAGUAGCAGAAUAAUACUCUGCCUGCCACGGUACAGACCCAAGUUCGAUUCCUGGCUGGUGCA
RNAcentral lists this transfer RNA (75 nucleotides) under Solanum tuberosum (potato). It matches the Rfam family "tRNA". Rfam says of the family: Transfer RNA (tRNA) molecules are approximately 80 nucleotides in length. Their secondary structure includes four short double-helical elements and three loops (D, anti-codon, and T loops). Further hydrogen bonds mediate the characteristic L-shaped molecular structure. tRNAs have two regions of fundamental functional importance: the anti-codon, which is responsible for specific mRNA codon recognition, and the 3' end, to which the tRNAs corresponding amino acid is attached (by aminoacyl-tRNA synthetases). tRNAs cope with the degeneracy of the genetic code in two manners: having more than one tRNA (with a specific anti-codon) for a particular amino acid; and 'wobble' base-pairing, i.e. permitting non-standard base-pairing at the 3rd anti-codon position. The record is from Rfam by way of RNAcentral. Lineage: Eukaryota; Viridiplantae; Streptophyta; Magnoliopsida; Solanales; Solanaceae.